RNAcentral lists this ribosomal RNA (324 nucleotides) under uncultured bacterium. RNAcentral's name for it is "bacterial SSU rRNA". It matches the Rfam family "Bacterial small subunit ribosomal RNA", at positions 28 to 334 of the family's 1533-position model. The record is from RNAcentral.
GAUGAACGCUGGCGGCGUGCUUAACACAUGCAAGUCGAACGAAGCGUCUUAAAGGAAGUUUUCGGAUGGAAUUUGGGAUGACUGAGUGGCGGACGGGUGAGUAACGCGUGGAUAACCUGCCUCAUACAGGGGGAUAACAGCUAGAAAUGGCUGCUAAUACCGCAUAAGCGCACAGUGCCGCAUGGCAGUGUGUGAAAAACUCCGGUGGUAUAAGAUGGACCCGCGUUGGAUUAGCUUGUUGGCAGGGUAACGGCCUACCAAGGCGACGAUCCAUAGCCGGCCUGAGAGGGUGAACGGCCACAUUGGGACUGAGACACGGCCCAG